Molecule: long non-coding RNA, 404 nt
Filed under: Camelus dromedarius (Arabian camel)
Lineage: Eukaryota; Metazoa; Chordata; Mammalia; Artiodactyla; Camelidae
Description: lncRNA (ENSCDRG00005000631.1)
Source: RNAcentral
ACUUAUUUCAAGUUGCUGAUAUAAAAAGUAGAGGUUUUCAGCAAAGUCCUGCAGGAAGAAGAGAAGACAUAACUUAGGCUGUUUCCUCCACCAAAAUACGGGGUUACCCCUCAUUUACGUAGAAGAAAUUUGCAAGAAAAAUCUGGGUAAGUACAGUAUCUGUUAUUAAUAUUAUUAUUACUAUCUAUUACAGCGUGUUAUUGACUAGAAAGGAAUCUACUUCUCACUUAGAAAGUGAAGUAUACUCCAAAAAAUAAUAAUAUUUUAAGGCUAGACUGUUCACCGCUAUGACAGGAAUCUGCCUUCUGUAAUUUGAAAAAGAAGUCAUAACAUUUCAUAAACGAUGCAGUUGAAAACUAGAGGCACUUUUAUUGGUGAAAUCCCCCAAGGCAUUAGCAGCAGCA